GUGAAUGUCAGUAGAAUCAUCACACGUUUGUCUCUGCGGCAGGAUGUCCGGUUGCGGUUCGGGCUGCUUUGCGCUGAAUCGAAUGGAUCAAGGCCGCCGCCGAGAGACCAAGAGGGCUCGUGCUAUGCAAGUGGAUGCUCGUGGGCCCGCCGUGUUAACAUGACUACCUUGCACCUGUACUUGGCAAGAAGAGUACCCGCACCGAGGGCGACGACGACGCGCCGGCGCAGUUCGGCCCGGAUGACCCCGGAGGCUUCCACCGCUUCCAGGACGAGCUCGUGCGCCGCAAGUCCGAGGAAGGACAGCGUCGACGUCAGGAAGAGGGCGCCGAGGACGCCGUCAACGUCUCGGAGAAGGAGGCAGCCAGUUUCAUACGAGCAGCGAGCCGCUGGAACGAGCACCGCCUGCAGAGGGUCCAGGAGGUGUGCGCGCGCCACAACCUGGGGCUCUACCGCUCCUCCGCCGCCCCGCCCGACGUCAAGCUGCCUCCCACCCCGCAGUACGCCGUGUUCUACUA
This is a long non-coding RNA of Frankliniella occidentalis (western flower thrips), 517 nucleotides long. RefSeq lists it as uncharacterized. The record is from RefSeq and is a predicted model, not a curated record. NCBI's taxonomy places the organism in Eukaryota, Metazoa, Arthropoda, Insecta, Thysanoptera, Thripidae. The transcript has 3 exons.